AGCGAGAUGGAGCAGUUGGUAGCUCGCCGGGUUCAUAUCCCGGAGUCCGCAGGUUCGAGUCCUGUUCUCGCCCACCA
This 77-nucleotide transfer RNA is filed under the name Candidatus Neomicrothrix sp. Its description in RNAcentral is "tRNA-Met". It matches the Rfam family "tRNA". Rfam says of the family: Transfer RNA (tRNA) molecules are approximately 80 nucleotides in length. Their secondary structure includes four short double-helical elements and three loops (D, anti-codon, and T loops). Further hydrogen bonds mediate the characteristic L-shaped molecular structure. tRNAs have two regions of fundamental functional importance: the anti-codon, which is responsible for specific mRNA codon recognition, and the 3' end, to which the tRNAs corresponding amino acid is attached (by aminoacyl-tRNA synthetases). tRNAs cope with the degeneracy of the genetic code in two manners: having more than one tRNA (with a specific anti-codon) for a particular amino acid; and 'wobble' base-pairing, i.e. permitting non-standard base-pairing at the 3rd anti-codon position. RNAcentral also lists the same sequence under 1 other name. The record is from RNAcentral. Lineage: Bacteria; Bacillati; Actinomycetota; Acidimicrobiia; Acidimicrobiales; Microthrixaceae.